Molecule: long non-coding RNA, 261 nt
Filed under: Anser cygnoides (Swan goose)
Lineage: Eukaryota; Metazoa; Chordata; Aves; Anseriformes; Anatidae
Description: lncRNA (ENSACDG00005002015.1)
Source: RNAcentral
AAAGUGCAGAGCACAGCACGGUAUGGGCUGCUGCAGGGACAGUUAACUCCAUCCCAGCCAGACCCAGCACACAUGUAAAAAAAGAAGAUAAACUACAAUAUGAAAUAUAGCAGCUUAUACCUGAAGCAUUCGGGAUUUCUGGAUGAUACACAAUUCAAAUUCUGGGUCACUUUUAUUUCAGUCUGGAAGUACAGUCAAAACUUAGCCAAGGAUUGUUAUAUACCACAGAAGAAGUGUGAUACAGAGUGGAAAAGGCAGUAA